RNAcentral lists this ribosomal RNA (460 nucleotides) under uncultured bacterium. RNAcentral describes it as "partial 16S ribosomal RNA". It matches the Rfam family "Bacterial small subunit ribosomal RNA", at positions 338 to 795 of the family's 1533-position model. The record is from RNAcentral.
CCUACGGGUGGCAGCAGUGAGGAAUAUUGGUCAAUGGGCGCGAGCCUGAACCAGCCAAGCAGCGUGAAGGAUGACUGCCCUACGGGUUGUAAACUUCUUUUUUAAAGGCAUAAAGUGAGACACUUGUGCCUGUUUGUAUGUACUUUAUGAAUAAGGAUCGGCUAACUCCGUGCCAGCAGCCGCGGUAAUACGGAGGAUCCGCGCGUUAUCCGGAUUUAUUGGGUUUAAAGGGAGCGUAGAUGGGUUGUUAAGUCAGUUGUGAAAGUUUGGGGUUCAACCGUAAAAUUGCAAUUGAUACUGACAGCCUGGAGUACAGUUGAGGUAGGCGGAAUUCGUGGUGUAGCGGUGAAAUGCGUAGAUAUCACGAAGAACUCCGAUUGCGAAGGCAGCCUACUAAACUGCCACUGACAUUGAUGCUCGAAAGUGUGGGUAGCAAACAGGAUUAGAUACCCGAGUAGUC